This 153-nucleotide ribosomal RNA is filed under the name Trebouxia corticola. Its description in RNAcentral is "5.8S ribosomal RNA". It matches the Rfam family "5.8S ribosomal RNA". Rfam says of the family: 5.8S ribosomal RNA (5.8S rRNA) is a component of the large subunit of the eukaryotic ribosome. It is transcribed by RNA polymerase I as part of the 45S precursor that also contains 18S and 28S rRNA. Functionally, it is thought that 5.8S rRNA may be involved in ribosome translocation. The record is from RNAcentral. Lineage: Eukaryota; Viridiplantae; Chlorophyta; Trebouxiophyceae; Trebouxiales; Trebouxiaceae.
AACUCUCAACAACGGAUAUCUUGGCUCCCGUAACGAUGAAGAACGCAGCGAAAUGCGAUACGUAGUGUGAAUUGCAGAAUUCCGUGAACCAUCGAAUCUUUGAACGCAAAUUGCGCUCGAGGCCUCGGCUAAGAGCAUGUCUGCCUCAGCGUC